Molecule: RNase P RNA, 370 nt
Filed under: Candidatus Omnitrophota bacterium
Lineage: Bacteria; Pseudomonadati; Candidatus Omnitrophota
Description: RNase P RNA component class A
Rfam family: Bacterial RNase P class A
About the family: Ribonuclease P (RNase P) is a ubiquitous endoribonuclease, found in archaea, bacteria and eukarya as well as chloroplasts and mitochondria. Its best characterised activity is the generation of mature 5'-ends of tRNAs by cleaving the 5'-leader elements of precursor-tRNAs.
Source: RNAcentral
UAAGCAGGCACAAGUGGUUGCCCCGUUGUUCGAUAACCACGGGGAGGAAAGUCCGAGCUCCACAGGAUGAUGCACCCAGGUAACGCUGGGCCCCGCUGUCAGCGGGAGGAUUAGAGCUACAGUGACGAUACUUGGCGAUCGGUCGGCGACCAAUCGCCUUGGGUGAAACGAGCAAUCUCUGCAUGGAGCAAUGCUAAAUAGGCAGAAACUUCGGUGAUGCUGCGCAUCACCGUGACGAACUGAUCCGGUUCGUUUGAUCUGCGGGUAGGCUGCAAGAGUUCGCGGAGUGAUCCGCGAAGUCAGUUGAAUAACCACUCUUGGCGUUCUGACGAACGCCUUGCACUCAACUCGGCUUAUGUCUGCUGUGACA